RNAcentral lists this ribosomal RNA (884 nucleotides) under Polypocephalus sp. KMHS-2021. RNAcentral's name for it is "partial large subunit ribosomal RNA". It matches the Rfam family "Eukaryotic large subunit ribosomal RNA", at positions 211 to 667 of the family's 3401-position model. The record is from RNAcentral. Lineage: Eukaryota; Metazoa; Platyhelminthes; Cestoda; Lecanicephalidea; Polypocephalidae.
GGUGAAAGGCCCGUGCGAAUGGAGGCUCAGACAAGUAAGGCAAUUCACCAGGCCGGCCUUCGAGUCGGGUUGUUUGGGAAUGCAGCCCAAAGCGGGUGGUAAACUCCAUCCAAGGCUAAAUACAAGCACGAAUCCGAUAGCGAACAAGUACCGUGAGGGAAAGUUGAAAAGUACUUUGAAAAGAGAGUAAACAGCACGUGAAACCGCAUAGAGGUAAACGGGUGGCGUCAAGCUGCAAGCCCGAAGGAUUCAGUCGGCAAGGGUGUUGUGAUGUGCCUGGCGCAUCUAUCAGUCGGAAUAAGCAUCAGUAGUCCGCUGGUUAAUGGCGGGCCCGACUUCGGUUGGGAUUUGUGUACCGGUUGGAUGCCGGAGCAUGCUGCUGGUCUGUUGGACUGCCUUGUCGGUGCACUUCCUUCGUGGUGAACACCACGACCGAUGGUACUGCCAGUCUGCUGUAGCUAAGUCGUAUGUGAGCAGUCCUUGUGGCUGUUUGUGUGCGAUCACAGAUAGAUUCGGUGCACGGCGUAAGUUGGCUCUCGGGUCGGCUUGCGUGUUAUCGUUCACUGGCUGUCAUCGGGCCGGACUAUGGUUGUUGUAACUGCCAUAGAUCGGUCUGGUGGGCUAUGGUGGUAAGAAUAACUGUGCAGGGCAUCGGAGCUCUCGGCCUCAAAUGUGGCCUGCAUCCACGUUAUAAGUGGUAGGUGCGGCGUCGUAGCCUGCCUAUUCCUGGGUCUGAUCGUCGUGUUGCCUGCGCAAAGUGGGCCCGGCGGUGGCUCGGGGUAGGAUGGAGUUAUUGGCGUCGUGUCGUGUGCAGGUCAUGGUGGGCCUAACAGUCUGUGGUGUAGUGGUAGACUAGCUUCCCGACCCGUCUUGAAACACGGACC